ACCACUGGGUCGCUUGCCUCGCACCACGCUGAAAAGACCUGUCAAAGGACCCCUAAACUCUGUUUUUACAACUGUAUCUCUGAGUCUAUUAUACAAAUAAGUUAAAACUUUCAACAACGGAUCUCUUGGCUCUGGCAUCGAUGAAGAACGCAGCGAAAUGCGAUAAGUAAUGUGAAUUGCAGAAUUCAGUGAAUCAUCGAAUCUUUGAACGCACAUUGCGCCUGAUAGUAUUCUGUCAGGCAUGCCUGUUCGAGCGUCAUUUCAACCCCCAAGCCCUAUUUGCUUGACGUUGGGAGUUUACGGAGACGUAAUUCCUCAAAUAUAGUGGCGGAGCUAGGUCGUGCUCUAAGCGUAGUAACCACAAUUCUCGCUUCUGCAGCCGGCUUAGGUCCUGCCGUAAAACCCCUAUAUUUUUUUAUUGGUUGACCUCGGAUCAGGUAGGAAUACCCGCUGAACUUAAGCAUAUCAAUAAGCGGAGGAAAAGAAACCAACAGGGAUUGCCCUAGUAACGGCGAGUGAAGCGGCAACAGCUCAAAUUUGAAAUCUGGCCUUCGGGUCCGAGUUGUAAUUUGCAGAGGAUGCUUUUGGCGCGGUGCCUUCCGAGUUCCCUGGAACGGGACGCCUUAGAGGGUGAGAGCCCCGUACGGUUGGACACCAAGCCUCUGUAAAGCUCCUUCGACGAGUCGAGUAGUUUGGGAAUGCUGCUCUAAAUGGGAGGUAAAUUUCUUCUAAAGCUAAAUACCGGCCAGAGACCGAUAGCGCACAAGUAGAGUGAUCGAAAGAUGAAAAGCACUUUGAAAAGAGGGUUAAAUAGCACGUGAAAUUGUUGAAAGGGAAGCGUUUACGGCCAGACCUUUUCCUGGCGGAUCAUCUGGUGUUCUCACCAGUGCACUCCGCCAGGUUUAGGCCAGCAUCGGCUCCCGUAGGGGGAUAAAAGCAGUGGGAAA
This 947-nucleotide ribosomal RNA is filed under the name Sordariomycetes sp. RNAcentral describes it as "eukaryotic LSU rRNA". The stretch from base 424 to 947 matches the Rfam family "Eukaryotic large subunit ribosomal RNA", at positions 1 to 535 of the family's 3401-position model. Lineage: Eukaryota; Fungi; Ascomycota; Sordariomycetes. The record is from RNAcentral.